Molecule: long non-coding RNA, 538 nt
Organism: Oncorhynchus tshawytscha (Chinook salmon)
Lineage: Eukaryota; Metazoa; Chordata; Actinopteri; Salmoniformes; Salmonidae
Source: Ensembl
UGCACUGUAGCCCAAUAAACAAGUAAACACAUUUGUUAAUAAAAUAGUGAUUAAAAAAUACUCUUUCAAAAUGCAGCUGUAUAUUUAGUUAUGGAUACAUAAUUAAUUACUAUGGGAAUAAAUAUCACUGAAUUACAGAAAUAUUGGAACAAAGUUGUCUAAUGAAGGUAAAGAAAUUGUUGCUUACUGGAAAAUACUAGUACAGUGCCAUUAUGGCUGUUAGCAGAACAAUAGACUUGUAUAUUAUCAGAACAAUAGACUUGUCUAUUAGCAGGGCUAUUAGCAGAACAAUAGACUUGUCUAUUAGCAGGGCUAUUAGCAGAACAAUAGACUUGGCUAUUAGCAGAACAAUAGACUUGUCUAUUAGCAGGGCUAUUAGCAGAACAAUAGACUUGUCUAUUAGCAGAACAAUAGACUUGACUAUUAGCAGAACAAUAGACUUGUCUAUUAGCAGAACAAUAGACUUGUCUAUUAGCAGGGCUAUUAGCAGAACAAUAGACUUGUCUAUUAUCAGAACAAUAUACGUGUCUAUUAGCAG